AGCGAACGCUGGCGGCAGGCCUAACACAUGCAAGUCGAACGAACCUUUCGGGGUUAGUGGCGGACGGGUGAGUAACACGUGGGAACGUGCCUUUAGGUUCGGAAUAACUCAGGGAAACUUGUGCUAAUACCGAAUGUGCCCUUCGGGGGAAAGAUUUAUCGCCUUUAGAGCGGCCCGCGUCUGAUUAGCUAGUUGGUUGAGGUAAUGGCUCACCAAGGCGACGAUCAGUAGCUGGUCUGAGAGGAUGAUCAGCCACAUUGGGACUGAGACACGGCCCAAACUCCUAAGGGAGGCAGCAGUGGGGAAUCUUGCGCAAUGGGCGAAAGCCUGACGCAGCCAUGCCGCGUGAAUGAUGAAGGUCUUAGGAUUGUAAAAUUCUUUAACCGGGGACGAUAAUGACGGUACCCGGAGAAGAAGCCCCGGCUAACUUCGUG
This 434-nucleotide ribosomal RNA is filed under the name uncultured bacterium. Its description in RNAcentral is "partial 16S ribosomal RNA". It matches the Rfam family "Bacterial small subunit ribosomal RNA", at positions 29 to 507 of the family's 1533-position model. The record is from RNAcentral.